GGUAAAGUUUUUUCAGAACUCAAUAAAUCUGGAUUAUGCAGGUUCAACUCCUGCCUCUACCU
RNAcentral lists this transfer RNA (62 nucleotides) under Keratoisidinae sp. 3 LFD-2014. RNAcentral's name for it is "tRNA-Met". Lineage: Eukaryota; Metazoa; Cnidaria; Anthozoa; Scleralcyonacea; Keratoisididae. The record is from RNAcentral.